GACGAACGCUGGCGGCGUGCUUAACACAUGCGAGUCGAACGGAAAGGCCCUGCUUUUGUGGGGUGCUCGAGUGGCGAACGGGUGAGUAACACGUGAGUAACCUGCCCUUGUCUUUGGGAUAACUUCAGGAAACUGGGGCUAAUACCGGAUAGGAGCUCCUGCUGCAUGGUGGGGGUUGGAAAGUUUCGGCGGCUGGGGAUGGACUCGCGGCUUAUCAGCUUGUUGGUGGGGUAGUGGCGUACCAAGGCUUUGACGGGUAGCCGGCCUGAGAGGGUGACCGGCCACAGUGGGACUGAGAAGCCGCCCAGACUCCUUCGGGAGGCAGCAGUGGGAGAUAGUGCACGAUGGGCGGAAUCCGGAUGCAGCAACGCCGCGUGCGGGAGGACGGCCUUCGGGUUGUAAACCGCUUUCGCCUGUGACGAAGCGUGAGUGACGGUAAUGGGUAAAGAAGCACCGGCUAACUACGUG
This 468-nucleotide ribosomal RNA is filed under the name uncultured bacterium. RNAcentral describes it as "partial 16S ribosomal RNA". It matches the Rfam family "Bacterial small subunit ribosomal RNA", at positions 28 to 507 of the family's 1533-position model. The record is from RNAcentral.